Molecule: ribosomal RNA, 697 nt
Filed under: uncultured bacterium
Lineage: Bacteria
Description: bacterial SSU rRNA
Rfam family: Bacterial small subunit ribosomal RNA
Source: RNAcentral
UGCGUAACGCGUAUGUAACCUACCCUAUACUGGGGGAUAGCCCGGAGAAAUCUGGAUUAAUACCCCAUGGCACCUAAAAGUGGCAUCAUGUUUAGGUUAAAGAUUUAUUGGUAUAGGAUGGGCAUGCGUCUGAUUAGCUAGUUGGGGGGGUAACGGCCCACCAAGGCGACGAUCAGUAGGGGUUCUGAGAGGAAGGUCCCCCACACUGGCACUGAGAUACGGGCCAGACUCCUACGGGAGGCAGCAGUAGGGAAUAUUGGGCAAUGGUCGGAAGACUGACCCAGCCAUGCCGCGUGCAGGAAGGAGGCCCUCUGGGUUGUAAACUGCUUUUAUCUGGGAAGAAAAAGGCCAUGCGUGGCAAAUUGCCGGUACCAGAUGAAUAAGCACCGGCUAACUCCGUGCCAGCAGCCGCGGUAAUACGGAGGGUGCGAGCGUUGUCCGGAUUUAUUGGGUUUAAAGGGUGCGUAGGCGGCUUAAUAAGUCAGCGGUGAAAGACCACGGCUCAACCGUGGCAGUGCCGUUGAUACUGUUUAGCUUGAGUGUCGGGUGGGUACAUGGAAUUGAUGGUGUAGCGGCGAAAUGCAUAGAUACCAUCAGGAACACCGAUAGCGAAGGCAUUGUACUGGCCGACAACUGACGCUGAUGCACGAAAGUGUGGGGAUCGAACAGGAUUAGAUACCCUGGUAGUCCACACCGU